RNAcentral lists this ribosomal RNA (647 nucleotides) under uncultured archaeon. RNAcentral's name for it is "bacterial SSU rRNA". It matches the Rfam family "Archaeal small subunit ribosomal RNA", at positions 833 to 1478 of the family's 1478-position model. The record is from RNAcentral.
GAGUACGGCCGCAAGGCUGAAACUUAAAGGAAUUGGCGGGGGAGCACUACAACGGGUGGAGCCUGCGGUUUAAUUGGACUCAACGCCGGAAAACUCACCGGGGGCGACAGCAAUAUGUAGGUCAGGUUAAAGGUCUUACCUGAAUCGCUGAGAGGAGGUGCAUGGCCGUCGUCAGUUCGUACUGUGAAGCAUCCUGUUAAGUCAGGCAACGAGCAAGACCCGUGCCCACUGUUACCAGCAUAUCCUUUAUGGAUGAUGGGGACUCUGUGGGGACCGCUGCUGCUAAAGCAGAGGAAGGUGCGGGCUACGGUAGGUCAGUAUGCCCCGAAUCUCCCGGGCUACACGCGGGCUACAAUGGUUGGGACAAUGGGUAUCUACUCCGAAAGGAGUUGGCAAUCUCUUAAACCCAAUCGUAGUUCGAAUUGAGGGCUGUAACUCGCCCUCAUGAAGCUGGAAUCCGUAGUAAUCGCGUUUCAACAUAGCGCGGUGAAUCUGUCCCUGCUCCUUGCACACACCGCCCGUCAAACCAUCCGAGUGAGGUAUGGGUGAGGGCACGAACUUAGUGUCGUGCUCGAACCUAAAUUUCGCAAGGAGGGUUAAGUCGUAACAAGGUAGCCGUAGGGGAAUCUACGGCUGGAUCACCUCCU